RNAcentral lists this ribosomal RNA (502 nucleotides) under uncultured bacterium. Its description in RNAcentral is "bacterial SSU rRNA". It matches the Rfam family "Bacterial small subunit ribosomal RNA", at positions 26 to 518 of the family's 1533-position model. The record is from RNAcentral.
AGAACGAACGCUGGCGGCGCGUUUAAGCAUGCAAGUCGAGCGGCAAGGGCCUUCGGGCCCCUAGAGCGGCGGACGGGUGAGUAACACGUGGACAAUCUGCCCCCCGGCCCGGGAUAGCCCAGGGAAACCUGGAUUAAUACCGGAUGAGACGGGACCCGCGAUGGCGGGACCCGGGAAAGGCGCUGCGGCGCCGCCGGGGGAUGAGUCUGCGUCCCAUUAGCUAGACGGCGGGGUAACGGCCCACCGUGGCGACGAUGGGUAGCCGGCCUGAGAGGGUGGACGGCCACAUUGGAACUGAGACACGGUCCAGACUCCUACGGGAGGCAGCAGCUAAGAAUCUUCCGCAAUGGGCGAAAGCCUGACGGAGCCGACGCCGCGUGAACGAAGAAGGCCGUGAGGUUGUAAAGUUCUUUUCGGGAGGGGGAACAACCGUGGCAGGGAAUGGCCGCGGAAUGACGUGAAUCCCGGAAUAAGCCCCGGCUAACUACGUGCCAGCCGCCGC